This is a long non-coding RNA of Musa acuminata AAA Group (dessert banana), 324 nucleotides long. RefSeq lists it as uncharacterized. The transcript is spliced from 2 exons. Lineage: Eukaryota; Viridiplantae; Streptophyta; Magnoliopsida; Zingiberales; Musaceae. The record is from RefSeq and is a predicted model, not a curated record.
GUCACUGAAGGCUGCGAGACCUGCUGGGAUUACGGCGCCGAGCAAAGAGCCGGCCAAGGUCGGAGAGGGCCCCGUGAAGCCGCCGGCGGCGUCGAGGCAGGCACCGAAAAAACCCGAGAAGCCCCGCGAGCCCAAGAAGAAGGCAAGGAGUGGCAAACCGAGCACCAAAAACUGAUGAUGGAUGGCAGCAACAACAACAACAAAAGUGUGUUUUAUCUUCAGAUUUCAUCGUUUGUGUUCUAUCACUGUACUCUGGAUGUUGCUGCUGUCGUGGUGUGAGCUUGUGAUGUGAAGUGGUUGAAGUAUGCUUUGAUGUUGUGCUCA